This is a long non-coding RNA of Oncorhynchus tshawytscha (Chinook salmon), 663 nucleotides long. RefSeq lists it as uncharacterized. The record is from RefSeq and is a predicted model, not a curated record. NCBI's taxonomy places the organism in Eukaryota, Metazoa, Chordata, Actinopteri, Salmoniformes, Salmonidae. The transcript has 2 exons.
AAUACAUAAAAGCAGAGGUAUUCGCUGUCACAAUACAUAAAAGCAGAGGUAUUCGCUGUCACAAUACAUAAAAGCAGAGGUAUUCGCUGUCACAAUACAUAAAAGCAGAGGUAUUCGCUGUCACAAUACAUAAAAGCAGAGGUAUUCGCUGUCACAAUACAUAAAAGCAGAGGGAUUCGCUGUCACAAUACAUAAAAGCAGAGGUAUUCGCUGUCACAAUACAUAAAAGCAGAGGGAUUCGCUGUCACAAUACAUAAAAGCAGAGGUAUUCGCUGUCACAAUACAUAAAAGCAGAGGUAUUCGCUGUCACAAUACAUAAAAGCAGAGGUAUUCGCUGUCACAAUACAUAAAAGCAGAGGUAUUCGCUGUCACAAUACAUAAAAGCAGAGGUAUUCGCUGUCACAAUACAUAAAAGCAGAGGUAUUCGCUGUCACAAUACAUAAAAGCAGAGGGAUUCGCUGUCACAAUACAUAAAAGCAGAGGUAUUCGCUGUCACAAUACAUAAAAGCAGAGGUAUUCGCUGUCACAAUACAUAAAAGCAGAGGUAUUCGCUGUCACAAUACAUAAAAGCAGAGGUAUUCGCUGUCACAAUACAUAAAAGCAGAGGUAUUCGCUGUCACAAUACAUAAAAGCAGAGGGAUUCGCUGUCACAAUACAUAAAAG